RNAcentral lists this ribosomal RNA (472 nucleotides) under uncultured bacterium. RNAcentral describes it as "partial 16S ribosomal RNA". It matches the Rfam family "Bacterial small subunit ribosomal RNA", at positions 28 to 507 of the family's 1533-position model. The record is from RNAcentral.
GACGAACGCUGGCGGCGUGCUUAACACAUGCAAGUCGAACGCUGAAGCUUGGUGCUUGCACUGGGUGGAUGAGUGGCGAACGGGUGAGUAAUACGUGAGUAACCUGCCCUUGACUCUGGGAUAAGCCUGGGAAACUGGGUCUAAUACUGGAUACGACAUGUCACCGCAUGGUGGUGUGUGGAAAGGGUUUUACUGGUUUUGGAUGGGCUCACGGCCUAUCAGCUUGUUGGUGGGGUAAUGGCUCACCAAGGCGACGACGGGUAGCCGGCCUGAGAGGGUGACCGGCCACAAUGGGCCUGAGACACGGACCAGACUCCUACGGGAGGCAGCAGUGGGGAAUAUUGCACAAUGGGCGGAAGCCUGAUGCAGCGACGCCGCGUGAGGGAUGACGGCCUUCGGGUUGUAAACCUCUUUCAGAACGGAAGAAGCGAAAGUGACGGUACGUGCAGAAGAAGCGCCGGCUAACUACGUG